Molecule: ribosomal RNA, 496 nt
Filed under: uncultured bacterium
Lineage: Bacteria
Description: partial 16S ribosomal RNA
Rfam family: Bacterial small subunit ribosomal RNA
Source: RNAcentral
GAUGAACGCUGGCGGCGUGCCUAAUACAUGCAAGUCGAGCGAACAGAUGAGGAGCUUGCUCCUCUGACGUUAGCGGCGGACGGGUGAGUAACACGUGAUAACCUACCUAUAAGACUGGGAUAACUUCGGGAAACCGGAGCUAAUACCGGAUAAUAUAUUGAACCGCAUGGUUCAAUAGUGAAAGACGGUUUUGCUGUCACUUAUAGAUGGAUCCGCGCCGCAUUAGCUAGUUGGUAAGGUAACGGCUUACCAAGGCAACGAUGCGUAGCCGACCUGAGAGGGUGAUCGGCCACACUGGAACUGAGACACGGUCCAGACUCCUACGGGAGGCAGCAGUAGGGAAUCUUCCGCAAAGGGCGAAAGCCUGACGGAGCAACGCCGCGUGAGUGAUGAAGGUCUUCGGAUCGUAAAACUCUGUUAUUAGGGAAGAACAAAUGUGUAAGUAACUAUGCACGUCUUGACGGUACCUAAUCAGAAAGCCACGGCUAACUACGUG